GAUGAACGCUGGCGGCGUGCCUAAUACAUGCAAGUCGAACGGACAGACGAGGAGCCUGCUCCUCGCACGUUAGCGGCGGACGGGAGAGUAACACGUGUAUAACCUACCUAUAAUACUGGUAUAACUUCGGAAAACCGGAGCUAAUACCGGAUAAUAUAUUGAACCGCAGGGUUCAAUAGUGAAAUACGGUUUUUCUGUCACUUAUAGAUGGAUCCGCGCCGCAUUAGGUAGUUGGUAAGGUAACAGCUUACCAAGGCAACGAUGCGUAUACGAACUGAGAGGGUGAUCGGCCACACUGGAACGGAGACACGGUCCAGACUCCUAAGGGAGGCAGCAGUAGGGAAUCUUCCGCAGUGGGCGAAAGCCUGACGGAGCAACGGCGAGUGAGUGAUGAAGGUCUUCGGAUCGUAAAACUCUGUUAUUAGGGAAAAACAAAUGUGUAAGUAAAUAUGCACGUCUUGACGGUACCUAAUCAGAAAGCCACGGCUAACUACGUG
Molecule: ribosomal RNA, 497 nt
Filed under: uncultured bacterium
Lineage: Bacteria
Description: partial 16S ribosomal RNA
Rfam family: Bacterial small subunit ribosomal RNA
Source: RNAcentral